CUCCAGGCUUCUCCCUCCCUCCUUUUCUUCCUCACUAUCUCCUCCCUCCUUCUUCUGCCUCCGCCUUUGGGGAGGGACUUCGCCGCCCCGCGCCAGCAUCCAGGGUCGAGGUUCUCCACUCUGCUCCUUGCGACGCAGGCCCAGACCCCUCCCCUCCGGUCUCGGCUCCACAUUCUGCCCCAUCUCAUCCGAUCUCCUUGCCCAGUGCCACGCUGAACUCUUUUUGGCCUGGACCGGGUGGUCGUUUCUGCUCUACUUCUCCAAGUAAGGCCCCUCCUCCUGGGUCCUCUGGUUCCAGUGAGGGGCAGGAAGGUCGGCACCCAGCCUCCUCCAGCAAGAAAAUGCCAUCGGGGGAGGGGCCUGCAAGGUCAGAGGAACCAGGGACUGUGACUACAGGACCAGAGAGCUGACAAUGUAAGAACCAGCCCUGCCCUGUGUGACAGAAGCAAGAAGAGGACAGCUGACCUCCAUGCCUAAGUACAAACCCCACUGUGCACUGUGUCCAAAGGUUCCAACUGGAGGGGCCCGGUAUCCUGGUGUCUUACAGCCCGGGGCCUGUGUAAUCCUUCUCUCAAAGGAUGGUCUCAGUACAUUGGCGACGUACACCCAGCAGUAUAAACAAAUAUCAGAAGAGAAAA
Molecule: non-coding RNA, 638 nt
Organism: Myodes glareolus (Bank vole)
Lineage: Eukaryota; Metazoa; Chordata; Mammalia; Rodentia; Cricetidae
Source: RefSeq, a predicted model, not a curated record